This 403-nucleotide ribosomal RNA is filed under the name bacterium. Its description in RNAcentral is "partial 16S ribosomal RNA". It matches the Rfam family "Bacterial small subunit ribosomal RNA", at positions 355 to 776 of the family's 1533-position model. The record is from RNAcentral.
UGGGGAAUAUUGCACACUGGAGGGAACUCUGAUGCAGCGACGCCGCGUGAACGAAGAAUGCUUUCGAGUCGUAAAGUUCUUUUAUAUGGUAAGAUAAUGACGGUACCAUAAGAAAAAGCCCCGGCUAACUACGUGCCAGCAGCCGCGGUAAUACGUAGGGGGCUAGCGUUGUCCGGAAUCACUGGGCGUAAAGGGUUCGCAGGCGGAAAUGCAAGUCAGGUGUAAAAGGCAGUAGCUUAACUACUGUAAGCAUUUGAAACUGCAUAUCUUGAGAAGAGUAGAGGUAAGUGGAAUUUUUAGUGUAGCGGUGAAAUGCGUAGAUAUUAAAAAGAAUACCGGUGGCGAAGGCGACUUACUGGGCUCAUUCUGACGCUGAGGAACGAAAGCGUGGGUAGCAAACAGG